GUCCAUGUAAAUGGGAUUUGCUUGAUUGAAGAUCUUGCUUGAAAUCCUCAACUUGAUUGAAGUCAGUACCCGAAGCUCUGGCCGGAGGGUCAGUUGAAAUGGAGCAAGUUGGAUCCAGUUCAGUCAAGGAGAGAAAGGAGUGCUUUAAUGAAGAAAACCAUCACUGGGGCUGGAGAGAUGGUUCAAUGGAUAACAACACUGACCACUCCUCCAGAGGAACCAGGUUCAAGUCCCAGCACCCACAUAGCAGCUCACAAUCUCUAUUAACUCUAGUUCCAG
RNAcentral lists this long non-coding RNA (279 nucleotides) under Cricetulus griseus (Chinese hamster). RNAcentral describes it as "lncRNA (ENSCGRG00000025397.1)". The record is from RNAcentral. Lineage: Eukaryota; Metazoa; Chordata; Mammalia; Rodentia; Cricetidae.